CAAACGGCCCUUUUCAGGGCCCACAAAUUAAACGCGUUAAAAAAGCU
Pediculus humanus corporis (human body louse) is the source of this 47-nucleotide non-coding RNA. The record is from Rfam. Lineage: Eukaryota; Metazoa; Arthropoda; Insecta; Psocodea; Pediculidae.